UACGUAGGGUGCGAGCGUUGUCCGGAAUUAUUGGGCGUAAAGGGCUCGUAGGCGGUUUGUCGCGUCGGGAGUGAAAUCCACUGGCUUAACUGGUGGCUUGCUUUCGAUACGGGCAGACUGGAGGUAUGCAGGGGAGAACGGAAUUCCUGGUGUAGCGGUGAAGUGCGCAGAUAUCAGGAGGAACACCGGUGGCGAAGGCGGUUCUCUGGGCAUGUCCUGACGCUGAGGAGCGAAAGUGUGGGGAGCGAACAGG
This 253-nucleotide ribosomal RNA is filed under the name uncultured bacterium. Its description in RNAcentral is "partial 16S ribosomal RNA". It matches the Rfam family "Bacterial small subunit ribosomal RNA", at positions 524 to 776 of the family's 1533-position model. The record is from RNAcentral.